Molecule: ribosomal RNA, 161 nt
Filed under: Hordeum murinum subsp. leporinum
Lineage: Eukaryota; Viridiplantae; Streptophyta; Magnoliopsida; Poales; Poaceae
Description: 5.8S ribosomal RNA
Rfam family: 5.8S ribosomal RNA
About the family: 5.8S ribosomal RNA (5.8S rRNA) is a component of the large subunit of the eukaryotic ribosome. It is transcribed by RNA polymerase I as part of the 45S precursor that also contains 18S and 28S rRNA.
Source: RNAcentral
ACGACACUCGGCAACGGAUAUCUCGGCUCUCGCAUCGAUGAAGAACGUAGCGAAAUGCGAUACCUGGUGUGAAUUGCAGAAUCCCGCGAACCAUCGAGUCUUUGAACGCAAGUUGCGCCCGAGGCCACUCGGCCGAGGGCACGCCUGCCUGGGCGUCACGC